AAAGGGUGCGUAGGUGGUGGUUUAAGUCUGGUUUGAAAGCAGGCGGCUCAACCGUCUGAUGUGGCUGGAAACUGAAGCACUUGAAUGGGUUGGCGGUAGCCGGAACGGGUCAUGUAGCGGUGAAAUGCAUAGAUAUGACCCAGAACACCGAUUGCGAAGGCAGGCUACUACGACCUGAUUGACACUGAGGCACGAGAGCAUGGGUAGCGAACAGGAUUAGAUACCCUGGU
This 230-nucleotide ribosomal RNA is filed under the name uncultured bacterium. RNAcentral describes it as "partial 16S ribosomal RNA". It matches the Rfam family "Bacterial small subunit ribosomal RNA", at positions 562 to 791 of the family's 1533-position model. The record is from RNAcentral.